RNAcentral lists this ribosomal RNA (468 nucleotides) under uncultured bacterium. Its description in RNAcentral is "partial 16S ribosomal RNA". It matches the Rfam family "Bacterial small subunit ribosomal RNA", at positions 28 to 507 of the family's 1533-position model. The record is from RNAcentral.
GACGAACGCUGGCGGCGUGCUUAACACAUGCAAGUCGAACGGAAAGGCCCUGCUUUUGUGGGGUGCUCGAGUGGCGAACGGGUGAGUAACACGUGAGUAACCUGCCCUUGACUUUGGGAUAACUUCAGGAAACUGGGGCUAAUACCGUAUCGGAGCUCCUGCUGCAUGGUGGGGGUUGGAAAGUUUCGGCGGUUGGGGUUGGAUUCGCGGCUUAUCAGCUUGCUGGUGGGGUAGUGGCUUACCAAGGCUUUGACGGGUAGCCGGCCUGAGAGGGUGACCGGCCACAUUGGGACUGAGAUACGGCCCAGUCUCCAACGGUAGACAGCAGGGGGGAGUAUUGCACAAUGGGCGGACGCCUGAUGCAGCAACGCCGCGGGCGGGAUGACGGCCUUCGGGUUAUAAACCGCUUUCGCCUGUGACGAAGCGUGAGUGACGGUAAUGGGUAAAGAAGCACCGGCUAACUACGUG